This 2950-nucleotide long non-coding RNA is filed under the name Nicotiana tabacum (common tobacco). Its description in RNAcentral is "long non-coding RNA (NTAB_LNC012457)". Lineage: Eukaryota; Viridiplantae; Streptophyta; Magnoliopsida; Solanales; Solanaceae. The record is from RNAcentral.
AAUUAUAAAACCCUACCCUUAAGUUUUCAAGUCCUAAAUCCUUGAGGUAAGAACAGAUCCCUCGCCUCUCAAAAAAAUGAGCCGCACACCAUUGAAGGAAACUCAAUUGAAAACUCAAAAAAUAUAAAAUAAUCACUGAACUUCAAGAGAAAUCGGAAGUCUAAGAUGUUGCUGACAGUGAAUGUACCGAGCCAGAGAUUGAAAGUUGUCAUACAUGAAGAUUGAAUUAAUAGAGAUUAAGGAAUUAGGGGAAUAAUUAGCCUACUGCCAUAGAUAAUUUUGGCAUAUAUUACAAAGGAUCUUGGUUUGGUAUUUAAAAGGAAAAGCAGCGACAAUGUUUCUUCUUUACUUUAUUUUGGACAUUUCUGAUUUUUUCCUCCAUACAUAUACACAUACUUGAGAGUGACGGGGUGACAGAAAAUAAGGUCACAAGAUUCUGAAUACACAUACUCGCAUUUUUUUUGAGGUCUCGAGAUUCUUUUUGGUUUCGAUUUCAAGAUUUCCCAAGAGUCUUGUCGUAUCUUUAGCUGAGGUCGAUUUGGGUUUCGAGCUUUUCGAUGUCGAUUCGAGGUUCUGGUUUAUUAAUUUCGGUGUUUCGGUCCAAGGAUUGUUGCUUGUUUAGCCCGACUGAUUUGUAAUUUUCAGCUUGGUUCAUCAAUAAAAGGUCGAUUUCUCAAUUUUCAUUCUCGUUUCGUUUUGUUAUGAUAGCUUGGUGCGCGUGGUGGUUGAUUUGUUAUUCUAUGUUGUUUGAGUAGCAUGUCUUAGUUUUCCUUUAAAUUGUUUUAACUAGUUUUAUUUCGAUUGCGAUGCAUGUAGUAUUGGGUUCUUGAAUAAAUGCUUUUAAUCGAGUAGAUGAAAAAUUGGAGUUGUUUCUUUCUUGGCAAGGAAUAAGAAUAGGCCAUGAGUGGUGCUAAGUCAGAAGAAUUUAUAACUCUUGGCCUCACAAUAAUCUUAAAUUAGCUUUAGAAAAAUAAUUAUGAACAUCCGUAGCUUGAGUACAAUCCUUUGAAAUUAGAAUCGAGGUGUGCCAUUAUUCAUUUCUCAUGGCCCUCGCAAAGUUGAAGUGCAUAGUUGCUUUAGGCGCGUUAUUUUAAAAAACUAAUUUCCUCAACUCGGGUGCGCAUUUAUGUGACCCAAAUCCCAAUUCCAACAAUUUUAGAUAAAAUAUGUCGUGGACCGUCGGUGCAUUUAUGUGACGUGGUUCAAGACGUGUUUUAGAUGACGUUGAAUUUUUUCCUAAAAAUUAAUUAAAUAAAGCGGUUAAAGUUAAAAUUGAACCAUAGGUUAAAACAUGUAUAAAAAAUCAGAUAAUAGGCCAAUAAUAGCAGUUGAGCGACCGUGCUAAAACCACGGAACUCGGGAAUGCCUAAUACCUUCUCCCGGGUUAACAGAAUUCCUUACUCAGAUUUCUAUGUUCGCGGACUAUAUAGAACAGAGUCAAUCUUUUUCUCGAUUUGGAAUUUGAACUGGUGACUUGGGACACCAUAAAUUAUUUCAAGCGGCGACUCUGAAUCAUUAAAUAAAUAAAUCUCGUUUCGAUUGUCACUUUAAGUUGGAAAAAACUCCCUUAUACCCCUUCCGGGGGUGGUAAGAAGGAAGUGUGACACCCAUCAUUUUCUUUCAUCAAAAAUUACAUUGGAUAUAUAAGGUUAAUUUUUUUCAUGUAUAAUAGUAGGUAUUGAAUCCACUUAGCUUCUUUGCGUGUUUACUUUUUUUAUUUUUUGGAAUCCUCUUGGUGAAAAUCCUACUUCCGGCAUCUACUUAUAUGAUCUUAGGUAAUCCUCAUAUCACAAGUUUAGUUUUUUUCGAUUGAGUUAAUCCUAUGUCCAUUUUAUUUAAUAUGGUAUUAGAGUCAGGCUCAUAUCUAUUUUCAGUUAACCCAAUGUUGGAUCCAUCUACUGUACAUGUUCUAACUCAAUCCCUUGACAUGCAAAAAUGUUAAAAUGUCCAACGUUGAUUGAGAGAAUGAUUUGUUGUCUCCUUAUUUUUGGUCUUUUGAUGAAUCUAGCCUACUAUAUCUAAGGAAUUUCUCCUGUUAUAAAUAACCAAGUUUGAGUUUAACUAAGGCCACUAAGAACAAAUUUGAUGGUUGCUUUUUUCCCCUUACUUUUUAUUGCUCCCUCGUAAGAGAAUUUGUAACUCACUAUUCUUGAGCCGAGGAUCUAUCGAAAACAACUUCUCUAUCCUCAUAAAGUAGGGGUAAGGUCUACGUACACACUACCCUCCUCAGACCUUACUAGUGGGAUUCCACUGUGUUUAUUGAUUUAUCGUCGCUAAUGUUUGCUUUGUUUGCUUUCGCAUGACGCCUUGUUAUUUUCGAUUGAUGUUUGGCUUAAUGUAUGCAUAUUUUGAUAUGUACGGCCUCACAUUAUGCUCAUAACUUAUAGAUUUCGGAUGUAUAAUAUGAUGAUUUGUGCUCAUUUGUGGUAUUUCUAUGUGUAGGAAUUAUUCGGAUGCAAUUUGGAACGAAAUGGCGCGAAUUAGAACGAAAUUGGGAAGAAAAAGCAAAAAAUAAAAUUUGAGGGCCACGGCCAGCGUGGGGUGCUAGCUGUGGCGCAAUUUACACAAGCAAAAUAUUUUGGGCGCCAGGGCCAGCGCCCCAUGCUGCCCUGGACGCUCGGAACGUGAAGUUGUCCUAUUCCGACUAGAACUUGGUUAUUUUGGCCCCAAGACGUCCCCAACUCAUAUAAAAGUUAACCUAAACCUAUUUUGAGAGGGGAGAACGUUUUUGAGAGGAAAACACAAGCAUAGAGCCGCCGUGGAGGCCGGGCUUUAUCUUUUCUUCUACCAAACUUAGUAAUUUUUAUGUUUUUUUGUAUGAUUUAUUGUUUUGCUACCAUAUCUAUGUGGAGUCAAACUUCACGUUCUAGGGUUAUGGUUCUUUCAUGACUAUUGUUAUUCGGAUAUUGAUUUUGCUUUCUUAGUUUAUCAUAUUGGUUUAUUUAUUCAA